GCCAGGCGCAGUGCGUGACUGUAGUCCCAGCUACGUGGGAGGCUGAGGCUGGAGGAUCUCUUGAGUCCAGUAGUUCUGGGCUGUAGUGCGCUAUGUCUAUUCGGUGUCUGCACUAAGUUCAGCAUCAAUAUGGUGACCUCCCGGGAGCGGGGGACCACCAGCUUGUCUAAGGAGGGGUGAACCUGCCCAGGUCGGAAAUGGAGCAGGUCAGAACUCCCGUGCUGAUCAGUAGUGGGAUCGCACCUGUGAAUAGCCACUGCACUCCAGCCUAGGCAACAUAGCAAGACCCCAUCUCU
Molecule: signal recognition particle RNA, 296 nt
Filed under: Saimiri boliviensis boliviensis (Bolivian squirrel monkey)
Lineage: Eukaryota; Metazoa; Chordata; Mammalia; Primates; Cebidae
Description: Metazoan signal recognition particle RNA (ENSSBOG00000003753.1)
Rfam family: Metazoan signal recognition particle RNA
About the family: The signal recognition particle (SRP) is a universally conserved ribonucleoprotein.
Source: RNAcentral